Molecule: microRNA precursor, 99 nt
Filed under: Mus spretus (western wild mouse)
Lineage: Eukaryota; Metazoa; Chordata; Mammalia; Rodentia; Muridae
Description: predicted gene, 54449 (ENSMSPG00010044662.1)
Source: RNAcentral
AGAAAUAUUUUCAUGCAUGCACACAAAUUCAUUCAUAUAUAUAAUGUAUAUGUGUAUACAUACAUACACACACACACACAUACAUACACACAAUCAUUU